GGAGGAAAAUUUUUUAGAUUUUGCCUGUUUCACAUCAUAGUAGCUGUGGGUUGGUCAUGUAUGGUCUGUAUUGUGCUGAGCUGUUUUGCAGAUAGUCACAUGCCACGUUGAAUGAGAAUCUAGAGUUCCUCUCUUCCUGAACAAAUGAAGAAGAAAUAUAUUCCUGAUGCUGGUUAAGUAUGUAGACACAGCCGUGCUUGAAGCCAGCUCUUCCAUGAGUGAACUCAUCCAACCCUAGUUUUUUGAGCGAGUGGAAUCUCAUCUGAUGCCCCAGACCCCCAGAUGCUGGUCUCACCUUCCAUUUGCUCAGACGCUGGGUUCCACAUCCACUGCUGGCCUUUAGAUUGGUCGACACCUGCCUCAUGUACCUGCUGGAGCAGUGUGGGACCACCAUUCACAGUCCUCUGGCUUCCACUCAGCUGACACUCCUGAGGCAACAGGAGGUCUGAACCUGCUACAGCCAAGGCCCAUGGUUCUUCAGGGUAUGCAGGUGUGCCAGGUGCCACUGGAGAUCCCAGAGUUUGACCUACUGGACCAGAACUCCCUGCAUGAAUCCCAGGAGCAGACACUGAUGAAGGAGGGGCCACCCCAUCCCCAGCACAACUACAAGUAAUCAGUUCUAUGUCCAUGCCCAGCAAGAAGCAGUUACUGAAGAUGGACCUUUGCCCAUAUGCUCAAAAGGGAUCUUAUAAAAUGGGUGAAUGAAGAGAACAAGGCUGUAGCCAUUUCUCCCCUGAUUUUGCCCCACAUGAUUUUACAAUCUAGAUUGUUAACUUUCUCGUAAUUCAUUGGUCUGAUUAUCCCACGUACUUUCAUUACUUAAGAAUAGUUCUGCUGCCAUUUGCUCUCUCUCUCACUCUUCUCACUCUCACUCUUGCUCUCUCUCUCUCACCCUUCAGGGAUGACACUCUGCUCAUUUGCUUAAUAAAAACACUCUCUCUCUCUCUCUCUCUCUCUCUCUCUCUCUCUCUCUCUCUCUCUCCAUCACCUUUCAGGGCAGGGCAGACACACUGCUUGUCUGCUUAAUAAAAUCUCUUGUGUGAGUUCCUGCAUCUGGAGUGGUUUUCUGGGUGCUUUCAGAGUGUUAUUAAGCCAUAAAGAAGAAUUGGAAACCUGUAAUUUUCAGCAAAAUGGAAGGAAAUGGAGGACAUAAGGUUCAGGAAAAUAAGUCAGAUGCAGAAACA
Long non-coding RNA from Sciurus carolinensis (gray squirrel), 1184 nucleotides. RefSeq lists it as uncharacterized. The transcript is spliced from 4 exons. The record is from RefSeq and is a predicted model, not a curated record. NCBI's taxonomy places the organism in Eukaryota, Metazoa, Chordata, Mammalia, Rodentia, Sciuridae.